CGGGGACAGGCAGACUCCCCAUCAGACGCUCGUCGUCCAAGCUCUGC
Molecule: non-coding RNA, 47 nt
Submitted as: unclassified sequences
Source: Rfam